UACGGAGGGUGCAAGCGUUGCUCGGAAUUAUUGGGCGUAAAGGGUAGGUAGGUGGUCUUAUUUGUCUGGGGUGAAAUCCUUGAGCUUAACUCAAGAAGUGCCUCAGAAACGGUGAGACUAGAGUCCCAGAGAGGGUCGUGGAAUUCCCGGUGUAGCGGUGAAAUGCGUAGAGAUCGGGAGGAACACCAGAGGCGAAGGCGGCGACCUGGGCAGAUACUGACGCUGAGGUGCGAAAGCGUGGGGAGCAAACAGG
This 253-nucleotide ribosomal RNA is filed under the name uncultured prokaryote. RNAcentral's name for it is "partial 16S ribosomal RNA". It matches the Rfam family "Bacterial small subunit ribosomal RNA", at positions 524 to 776 of the family's 1533-position model. The record is from RNAcentral.